Molecule: transfer RNA, 77 nt
Filed under: Lentimicrobiaceae bacterium
Lineage: Bacteria; Pseudomonadati; Bacteroidota; Bacteroidia; Bacteroidales; Lentimicrobiaceae
Description: tRNA-Pro
Source: RNAcentral
CGGGGUGUGGUGCAGUUGGCUAGCAUUCUUGCAUGGGGUGCAAGCGGUCGCCCGUUCGAGUCGGGCCACUCCGACAA